This 372-nucleotide ribosomal RNA is filed under the name uncultured bacterium. RNAcentral describes it as "bacterial SSU rRNA". It matches the Rfam family "Bacterial small subunit ribosomal RNA", at positions 29 to 403 of the family's 1533-position model. The record is from RNAcentral.
ACGAACGCUGGCGGCGUGCUUAACACGUGCAAGUCGAGCGGUAAGGCCCUUUCGGGGGUACACGAGCGGCGAACGGGUGAGUAACACGUGGGUGACCUGCCCUCAGCUCUGGGAUAAGCCUGGGAAACCGGGUCUAAUACUGGAUAUGACUCCAUGACGCAUGUUGUGGGGUGGAAAGCCUUGUGCGGCUGAGGAUGGGCCCGCGGCCUAUCAGCUUGUUGGUGGGGUGAUGGCCUACCAAGGCGACGACGGUAGCCGGCCUGAGAGGGCGACCGGCCACACUGGGACUGAGACACGGCCCAGACUCCUACGGGAGGCAGCAGUGGGGAAUCUUGCGCAAUGGGCGAAAGCCUGACGCAGCGACGCCGCGUG